RNAcentral lists this ribosomal RNA (390 nucleotides) under uncultured bacterium. RNAcentral describes it as "bacterial SSU rRNA". It matches the Rfam family "Bacterial small subunit ribosomal RNA", at positions 370 to 772 of the family's 1533-position model. The record is from RNAcentral.
AAUGGGCGAAAGCCUGAUGCAGCGACGCCGCGUGAGGGAUGAAGGCCUUCGGGUUGUAAACCUCUUUCAGCAGGGAAGAAGCGAGAGUGACGGUACCUGCAGAAGAAGCACCGGCUAACUACGUGCCAGCAGCCGCGGUAAUACGUAGGGUGCGAGCGUUGUCCGGAAUUAUUGGGCGUAAAGAGCUUGUAGGCGGUUUGUCGCGUCUGCUGUGAAAAUCUGGGGCUUAACUCCGGACGUGCAGUGGGUACGGGCAGGCUAGAGUGUGGUAGGGGAGACUGGAAUUCCUGGUGUAGCGGUGAAAUGCGCAGAUAUCAGGAGGAACACCGAUGGCGAAGGCAGGUCUCUGGGCCAUAACUGACGCUGAGAAGCGAAAGCAUGGGUAGCGAA